RNAcentral lists this long non-coding RNA (2040 nucleotides) under Sus scrofa (pig). RNAcentral's name for it is "lncRNA (ENSSSCG00000057174.1)". Lineage: Eukaryota; Metazoa; Chordata; Mammalia; Artiodactyla; Suidae. The record is from RNAcentral.
UCAAUUUUAACAAAAAGUAAAAGGAUGAUCAAGUGGAGCUUAUCCCCAGGGGUCCGUCCAUCAGUGUUCUUGUGACCGUCACUUUUGUGUGCCUCCCCAGAAGAUGUGGUCAGGCAACAGAGGCUUGGAGAGCGAGGAACCCGUCUUUGACACAAGCCCCUGGGUCUUUUGGACGUCAGGUCCGGCUCCUGAUGGACCCCAGUGGGGGAAUACAGAGACCAGGCAGGGCAUGGACCCAAGGGGCCAAGCUGCAUGCAGAGCUCCCGGGAUCUGACGUGGACCACUUUCCAGGACCAUUCGUCCAGGCGGGCGCCGAGGGGCCCUGGGCUGGGAACUGCCACACUGGCUCAUCCCUCCGAGUGAAGGUCAGGCUGCUGACCGCUGUGCAUUCUCCUGGAUGGGCUUGGUGGUCUGGCCCCCGAGAUUGAGACCAGUUUCCUGAAACCAUGGUAGGCAGUGUGAGGGAGCUGUCAAGAGCAGAGCAAGGAGCUCGCAUCAGACAGGCCUGUGUUUCAAACCAGCUGUGCGUCCUCCGCCUUCCAGGGCUUCAGCAUCCACCUCUGUUAAGUGGGGAUAAUCAUAGCCCCCACCUCGCUGAGUUGUGAGAGUUCAAUGAGGUAACAUUCAUAAAGUUCUCAUCCAUUAUUAUUAUUAUUAUUAUUAUUAUUGAAGGUCUAAUUGGGUUUAAUCAGCAAUUCAUGAGUCAGGCAGCCCCUCCUAGCAACCAGAAGCACCUUUUCAGCAGUUUUUGUUGUUGCUGUUGCCAUUAUUUCACAACCUCAGGUGCCAGAAAUUGAAAAACAAGGGUUUUUCAGAGCCGAAUUCCACCCAGAAAGUCCACGAAGCUGCCCACAGACCCCCACACACCCCACACCUCCAGCAUCCUCACAUCUUUCAUGAGAAUGGACCAGGGCAUGCAGGACCCCUGACCUGCUCCAUUUCCCACCCUAGGCUGGAAAUGCCCAACGCAUGUGCAGACAGACCAGAAAAGGGGCCGUGCCCUCCCCAAACUGAGAAGGGAGGCAAGUCAGGAGGCCGCUUGGGGAGGGAGUACAUGCAUAUUGCAGCAAGUUGCAGCAUACGUUGCAGAUGCGGCUUGGAUCCUGCAUUGCUGUGGCUGUGGUGUAGGCUGGCAGCUGCAGCUCUGAUUCAACCCCUAGCCUGGAAACCUCCAUAUGCCACGGGUGUGGCCCUAAAAAGAAAAAAAAAGUGAUCUGGGUAAGAGGAGGGGGCGUUUUAAGGAAAGGGAGACUAUGAUGGUUACUUAAGACAAUGCUUUGGAAAAAAUGAAAGAAAGAGCACCAUGAUGGAGAAGGAACAAGAGUCUGUCCAUGUUGCAGAAGGAAAAGAUAACCAGAUAAGAGGAUGUCAGGAGAGUUGAGUGACAGUGUCUUAGUAACUGGCAAAGCUAUGAUGCCAACCAAAUCAGAUCUGUCCAAAAUGAUCACUGGUGAGCAUUGGUGGUAUAGUGGUGAGCAUAGCUGCCUUCCAAAAUGAUCAUUGGAAGAAAAAUCUCAUGAUGUUUAAAAAUAGAAAAUUAUAUUCUCAAAUCAGUGUUUACGUACACACAAAAACAGGGAUCAGGCAGCAGAAAGUAGAAACUAUAGUUUAAUGUCAUUCGUCUCCUUUUUCAUGGCUGCCAUGUCAUCCCAGAUCUUGAUAAUCAUAGAGAGACCUGAAUCCUCUUUAUUUAAAGGCUCACAUUAGUACCAUUGACACUGUUUUCCAUCUUUCACUUCACUAGAGGGAAAAAGAAGAAAAUAGUAUCUCCAUAUCAAGGGUAUUAAAGAAAGGAAAUUUGCAAGGUUUUAUUGAAACAGAACAUACAACAAAGGAGAGAAGGAAUGAAGUGGAGUUCCUGUUGUGGCUCAGCAGGUUGAGAACCCAACAUAGUGUCCGAGGAGGAUGGGGGUUCAAUCCCUGGCCUCACUCAGUGGGUUAAGGAUCAUGAUGUGGCUGUGAGCUGCAGCACAGGCCACGAGCUGCAGCUCUGAUUCAACUCCUAGCCCAGGAACUUCCAUAUGCCACAGGUGCGGCUGU